GGGCGAUUAGCUCAGAUGGAAGAGCGUCCCGUUCACAUCGGGAAGGUCAGUGGUUCAAGUCCACUAUCGCCCA
This 73-nucleotide transfer RNA is filed under the name bacterium. RNAcentral describes it as "tRNA-Val". It matches the Rfam family "tRNA". Rfam says of the family: Transfer RNA (tRNA) molecules are approximately 80 nucleotides in length. Their secondary structure includes four short double-helical elements and three loops (D, anti-codon, and T loops). RNAcentral also lists the same sequence under 1 other name. The record is from RNAcentral.